GGACAAUAUGUUGUAUGUUCGUUAAACAGUUUAGUAAGUAGUAAUGUUCCUUUGAAUGAAGAAGUCUUCGCGGAGAGAAAUGUAAUAAUAAGAAAGAAAUUCUGACCCUAUCGACUGGCUGUAUAAUAGGAGGUAAAGGGCUACAGCGAUCGACCGUUGCGUUCGUUGUUAGGAUCAAUUUAUUCUGACCACUGUCCAAUCCGUAUCAAGUCGAAGGGUACACCCAUAAGUUCGUGGUGGGGGUUCCAAUAGGGGAAAUACUGACCCUUGUCCGAGGGUGCAUUUAUUAUGAACAGAGGGAAGAAUCCUUUCGUUAUAAGAGUAAUAAUGCUAACAGUAUAGUUUACGCACACAUGUUUAAAGAAUAUGUGUACUUAGUAGUAGGUAUACAUAAUGC
This is a long non-coding RNA of Agrilus planipennis (emerald ash borer), 397 nucleotides long. RefSeq lists it as uncharacterized. The record is from RefSeq and is a predicted model, not a curated record. NCBI's taxonomy places the organism in Eukaryota, Metazoa, Arthropoda, Insecta, Coleoptera, Buprestidae. The transcript has 3 exons.